AUGAAACUGUUCAAGAUCUUCGUCGUCCUCGCCAUCUUGGUUGUUCUAUCCACCUCAAUACCAUUGUCGCGGGUUAGUGCACUAGGGAAGCAGGCAAAAAAAGCGCCAAAAGUUGGUAUACAAGGGAAACGGAUAGCCAGACUGCCUCCGGCGCCAAGACCAAACCCGCGUACGCGUGGAAGGUCAGGGCCACCACAUCCACCAGCAACACAGAAGGGCAGAAUUCAGCCGUUUAGCUCACCGCCGCCUCCUUCACCGCCAGCACAGAAGAGCACAAUGCAGCCAAUGCCACCUCCACCGCCGGUGCAGAAGAGUGGGGCAUGGCCGAUGCACUUCCCGCCCCCUCCACCACAAGUGCAGAAGAGCAAAAUGCAGCCAAUGCCACCUCCACCGCCGGUGCAGAAGAGUGGGGCACGGCCGAUGCAAUUCCCGCCCCCUCCACCACAAGUGCAGAAGAGGGUAGAGAGUCCGUUGCGCACCCCGCCGCCUCCACCACCAGUGAAGAAGAGCAUCGCUCGGCCAUUGAGCUCCCCGCCACCUCCACCAUGA
Molecule: ribosomal RNA, 549 nt
Filed under: Triticum aestivum (bread wheat)
Lineage: Eukaryota; Viridiplantae; Streptophyta; Magnoliopsida; Poales; Poaceae
Description: partial small subunit ribosomal RNA
Source: RNAcentral